Long non-coding RNA from Girardinichthys multiradiatus, 372 nucleotides. RefSeq lists it as uncharacterized. The transcript is spliced from 2 exons. The record is from RefSeq and is a predicted model, not a curated record. Lineage: Eukaryota; Metazoa; Chordata; Actinopteri; Cyprinodontiformes; Goodeidae.
UUCAUGGUUUUGAUUAUUGCUUGUCUGAGAAGAUUCUAAUUCUUGUUCCUUGACUAAUGUUUUGUUUUUGUCUCAGGUUGACCAAGCCUCUCUCAUGUGAGAUAUCUGAAGGAACUUUUCAAUAGCUUUUUGGACUCUGGAUUCUUGUUUUUGUUCCACUGGCAACCAGAUUAGGGAUUGUUCUCACAGCUUCAUGCGAACCCUGUCCACCCUCCUCCAAGCCUCUCAGGACUCAUCUGCUACGGCAGUGCUGCAUAGCCACCUCUUACCAGGAUCACAACCUCUCUCCCUGGCGGACUUAACUCUACCCAAUUCUCCCUGCUACUGCGGUUUCCUGCACCAGAUUUCCUAAUAAAAGUUUUACUAAACGUU